This 2266-nucleotide ribosomal RNA is filed under the name Drosophila melanogaster (fruit fly). Its description in RNAcentral is "eukaryotic LSU rRNA". It matches the Rfam family "Eukaryotic large subunit ribosomal RNA", at positions 1550 to 3185 of the family's 3401-position model. The record is from RNAcentral. Lineage: Eukaryota; Metazoa; Arthropoda; Insecta; Diptera; Drosophilidae.
UUCAAGGCGAAAGCCGAAAAUUUUCAAGUAAAACAAAAAUGCCUAACUAUAUAAACAAAGCGAAUUAUAAUACACUUGAAUAAUUUUGAACGAAAGGGAAUACGGUUCCAAUUCCGUAACCUGUUGAGUAUCGCGUUUGUUAUUAAAUAUGGGCCUCGUGCUCAUCCUGGCAACAGGAACGACCAUAAAGAAGCCGUCGAGAGAUAUCGGAAGAGUUUUCUUUUCUGUUUUAUAGCCGUACUACCAUGGAAGUCUUUCGCAGAGAGAUAUGGUAGAUGGGCUAGAAGAGCAUGACAUAUACUGUUGUGUCGAUAUUUUCUCCUCGGACCUUGAAAAUUUAUGGUGGGGACACGCAAACUUCUCAACAGGCCGUACCAAUAUCCGCAGCUGGUCUCCAAGGUGAAGAGUCUCUAGUCGAUAGAAUAAUGUAGGUAAGGGAAGUCGGCAAAUUAGAUCCGUAACUUCGGGAUAAGGAUUGGCUCUGAAGAUUGAGAUAGUCGGCUUGAUUGGGAAACAAUAACAUGGUUUUAUGUGCUCGUUCUGGUAAAUAGAGUUUCUAGCAUUUAUGUUAGUUACUUGUUCCCCGGAUAGUUUAGUUACGUAGCCAAUUGUGGAACUUUCUUGCUAAAAUUUUUAAGAAUACUAUUUGGGUUAAACCAAUUAGUUCUUAUUAAUUAUAACGAUUAUCAAUUAACAAUCAAUUAGAACUGGCACGGACUUGGGGAAUCCGACUGUCUAAUUAAAACAAAGCAUUGUGAUGGCCCUAGCGGUGUUGACACAAUGUGAUUUCUCGCCCAGUGCUCUGAAUGUCAAAGUGAAGAAAUUCAAGUAAGCGCGGUCAACGGCGGGAGUAACUAUGACUCUCUUAAGGUAGCCAAAUGCCUCGUCAUCUAAUUAGUGACGCGCAUGAAUGGAUUAACGAGAUUCCUACUGUCCCUCUACCCAUAUCGCGGUAGAGCCUUCAUGCUCGACGUUUGAGUUACGGUGCUAGUUGCGCAAAACUCGGUGUGUGACGCAGAGAUCAGUAGAGAUUUUAGGUAGAUCUCGCUCCUCAGCAAGGGGGAGUGCUUGCCCGGCAAGCAAGUACUCGAAUUGCUACCGGGUGGUCGCUAUGUACAUAGCUAUAGCUUCUAGUCCGGGACGCUUGUCGGCGUAUCCAGACACAUGCACCAUAUGCUCACUUGUGGGUGUAUAGGGUGCCGUGGUUGUAAUCCCUUCAGUGUGGAACACGCCACGUAAAAUAAGUUCGGAGGGAUCCGAAAAGCAUACAUUGUCCCUAUCUACUAUCUAGCGAAACCACAGCCAAGGGAACGGGCUUGGAAUAAUUAGCGGGGAAAGAAGACCCUUUUGAGCUUGACUCUAAUCUGGCAGUGUAAGGAGACAUAAGAGGUGUAGAAUAAGUGGGAGAUAUUAGACCUCGGUUUGGUAUCGUCAAUGAAAUACCACUACUCUUAUUGUUUCCUUACUUACUUGAUUAAAUGGAACGUGUAUCAUUUCCUAGCCAUUAUACGGAUAUAUUUAUUAUAUCUUAUGGUAUUGGGUUUUGAUGCAAGCUUCUUGAUCAAAGUAUCACGAGUUUGUUAUAUAAUCGCAAACAAAUUCUUUAAUAAAACGAUGCAUUUAUGUAUUUUUGAUUUGAAAAUUUGGUAUAACUCCAAUUACUCAGGUAUGAUCCAAUUCAAGGACAUUGCCAGGUAGGGAGUUUGACUGGGGCGGUACAUCUCUCAAAUAAUAACGGAGGUGUCCAAGGCCAGCUCAGUGCGGACAGAAACCACACAUAGAGCAAAAGGGCAAAUGCUGACUUGAUCUCGGUGUUCAGUACACACAGGGACAGCAAAAGCUCGGCCUAUCGAUCCUUUUGGUUUAAAGAGUUUUUAACAAGAGGUGUCAGAAAAGUUACCAUAGGGAUAACUGGCUUGUGGCGGCCAAGCGUUCAUAGCGACGUCGCUUUUUGAUCCUUCGAUGUCGGCUCUUCCUAUCAUUGUGAAGCAAAAUUCACCAAGCGUUGGAUUGUUCACCCAUGCAAGGGAACGUGAGCUGGGUUUAGACCGUCGUGAGACAGGUUAGUUUUACCCUACUAAUGACAAAACGUUGUUGCGACAGCAUUCCUGCGUAGUACGAGAGGAACCGCAGGUACGGACCAAUGGCACAAUACUUGUUCGAGCGAACAGUGGUAUGACGCUACGUCCGUUGGAUUAUGCCUGAACGCCUCUAAGGUCGUAUCCGUGCUGGACUGCAAUGAUAAAUAAGGGGCAAUUUGCAUUGU